UACGGAGGGUGCAAGCGUUGUCCGGAUUUAUUGGGUUUAAAGGGUGCGUAGGCGGCCUUGUAGGUCAGUGGUGAAAGCCUCCAGCUCAACUGGAGAACUGCCAUUGAUACUGCAAGGCUUGAGUACAGACGAGGUUGGCGGAAUUGACGGUGUAGCGGUGAAAUGCUUAGAUAUCGUCAAGAACACCGAUAGUGAAGACAGCUAACUAAGCUUUAACUGACGCUGAGGCACGAAAGUGUGGGGAUCAAACAGG
RNAcentral lists this ribosomal RNA (253 nucleotides) under uncultured bacterium. Its description in RNAcentral is "partial 16S ribosomal RNA". It matches the Rfam family "Bacterial small subunit ribosomal RNA", at positions 524 to 776 of the family's 1533-position model. The record is from RNAcentral.